Molecule: long non-coding RNA, 405 nt
Organism: Dermacentor albipictus
Lineage: Eukaryota; Metazoa; Arthropoda; Arachnida; Ixodida; Ixodidae
Source: RefSeq, a predicted model, not a curated record
CCUGGCCCCCAUCACGCUUCCCAAGGAGACCGGUGGCUACUGAGAAGAAUGACUUCAUACAAGGCUCUGCGUUUGGCCGUCUUUGCUCUUCUUGUGCUGCAUGCCAUAAACAUGUGCGUCUGUAGAUCGGCUGUGCAAUCUAGAGAAGAUGACAACCUUCAACUGAAGGAGUGUCCAGAGACAUGUGAAGCGUCAAAGAACGGCACAUGUGCAGGCGACUGCAUCUGCGUAUGGGUGCCGGGUGCUGAAAGAGGCAAAUGCUUGGAUUUCGGCGACACUGUAUUAUAGCGUCCCAGUUUUGCCCACUACGAAGCCAUAGAAGAGAAAUGCCUUCGCACUUCAUGGUAAAAGAAUAUUAUAAUUGGAUUUGCCAGCAGCAGAAUGAGUUUACGAAUAAAUACUUUG